RNAcentral lists this ribosomal RNA (495 nucleotides) under uncultured bacterium. RNAcentral's name for it is "partial 16S ribosomal RNA". It matches the Rfam family "Bacterial small subunit ribosomal RNA", at positions 28 to 507 of the family's 1533-position model. The record is from RNAcentral.
GACGAACGCUGGCGGCGUGCCUAAUACAUGCAAGUAGAACGCUGAGGGAGGAGCUUGCUUCUCUGGAUGAGUUGCGAACGGGUGAGUAACGCGUAGGUAACCUGCCUGGUAGCGGGGGAUAACUAUUGGAAACGAUAGCUAAUACCGCAUAAGAGUAGAUGUCGCAUGACAUUUGCUUAAAAGGUGCAAUUGCAUCACUACCAGAUGGACCUGCGUUGUAUUAGCUAGUUGGUGAGGUAACGGCUCACCAAGGCAACGAUACAUAGCCGACCUGAGAGGGUGAUCGGCCACACUGGGACUGAGACACGGCCCAGACUCCUACGGGAGGCAGCAGUAGGGAAUCUUCGGCAAUGGACGGAAGUCUGACCGAGCAACGCCGCGUGAGUGAAGAAGGUUUUCGGAUCGUAAAGCUCUGUUGUAAGAGAAGAACGAGUGUGAGAGUGGAAAGUUCACACUGUGACGGUAUCUUACCAGAAAGGGACGGCUAACUACGUG